Molecule: unclassified non-coding RNA, 400 nt
Filed under: uncultured Pseudotomentella
Lineage: Eukaryota; Fungi; Basidiomycota; Agaricomycetes; Thelephorales; Thelephoraceae
Description: sequence contains ITS1
Rfam family: 5.8S ribosomal RNA (bases 1-105)
Source: RNAcentral
GAAAUGCGAUAAGUAAUGUGAAUUGCAGAAUUCAGUGAAUCAUCGAAUCUUUGAACGCACCUUGCGCUCCUUGGUAUUCCGAGGAGCAUGCCUGUUUGAGUGUCAUGAAAAUCUCAACUGCUUUUAGCAUUCGUGCUGAAAGUGAAGUUGGAGUUGGAGGAUAAUUGCUGGCGCAACCUGUUAAAAGGCUGCUUGUUGGCUCCUCUUGAAUGCAUGAGCUUUUCUGAUAGAUCAUGGCUUUAGCAACGCUAAUGUGAUAAUUAUCUGCAUUAGAUGUGAAAAGGCUGUGUGAGUGGAGGGUAACUUCAAUUAUUAUUGAAGGAGCGCUCUUACAGAAAAGAGUGAGACGGGAGGGGAUAUAUAUUGACACAUCUGACCUCAAAUCAGGUAGGACUACCCG